UUUUUUUGGUAAACCCUAGUUUGUUUUUUUCUAGAUCGGGUUUUUUCGGUUUUCUUUGGUUAGUUUUAUUCUACGAACGUUCGUUCAUUCAGUUCUUAUAAUGAACGAAUUCGCUCGUUUGCCUCGGUUAGCGGACUUUCGUGCCGUAGUCUUUUUCUUUUUAUUUUAUUUUCGGCCAAGGACCUAUCCUUGAUUAUUUUUAUCGCAGACUAGCCCCUGAUCUUCAAACCCUCGCAAGUUUUUAACCGUUUGUCCAAAUCCAGUGAAACCAACGCCAAAAUCUUCGCCUCGAACCCCUCUUUCCAGUUAAUCAACUUGAACAAGGUUUCGAUAAUUUGAAAUUUGGUUUCAAGCAGAUUUGAAUUCGAACUUCUUUUGACCGUAGUUUGAGUUUCGUAGCUCCGAUUUGAUUGAUUCUUUUUGCAAAUCGAAGCACUUCAGUCGAACUUUCAGUUUGGAUCUCUUUAUUUGAGUUUGACCCUUGCAUUUAUGAUUGAGUGCUUAUGUAUGCUAUUGUUUGUUUGCGAUAGAAUUUCCGGAGUGCGAAGCGUGCUACUACGAGUCUCUAGGGUUUGCAGAUCGUCAGCAAGGCAAGUAACAUUUUGAUCAUACCCCUUAUUACUCAGUUUUUAUGCAUUAGUUACAACCCUCAAACAUUGCAUGAGUAGGAUCUCUUAGCAUGCGGGUUUUGGGAGUAGCUGAUGAGGUAGAACCUAUUGUCCUGUAUUAUCAAACCCCGGGAGUUACUUCUACAUUAUGCUUAUACUGCUAUGCUAUGCUCAUAGACGUGGUUUGGUUGAGUGAUUCAUGACAGCUGUGAGGUUAGUUAUAAACUAAGGGUUUAUUUAAGGUGACUACUUUAAUACACAUCUGGGUGGAUUGUUGGUGGGCACCUGGGGAAUCCAGUGUUGUCCAAGGAGAUUCCGGGGCAUCCAUGUGAUCAUCCUAUGGUUCGCCACCCAGGCUCAAAGCGAUCAUAAGAUUAUUCAUGCUCGAAACUUUCAUGUGCAGCCACAAGCCAUUAUGGGCUCUGGCAUAGUUGAGUAUUGUCAGGACCCCGAUCCUAAGACACAUCGAUCUAGCAUGUAACACAUCAUAUUGCUUUGCGGCCUCACGCACGGUAUUCCCACAGGUGCUACCUCACCUGGCCCGGGACCAUUUGCGCCUUUUGGCUCGCAUAUAUGAUAGUGUCGCUAGCAUCCAUAUGACAGAGAACCCGGACCGACAUGACUAGUCGUGAACCCAAAGUGGCACUAACUUACGGGGACAGGCAUACAUGAAUCAACAUCGAGCAUGUCGGUCAACAGCGUGCGAAUCCGGGCUGUAGCACUAGGCUAACAGGACUCCGGUGAACCGGGCUGUAGCAGGCUAGGCAGGACUCCGGAUGUCACCGCGUGACAUUUCCCCGAAGGGACAGACACAGGAACGAAGUGAAUCACAUGCCGGCCAGUCAAGUGUUCCGGAGCAGUAGUGCUGGGCUAGCAGGACUCCGGUGAACCGGGAUGUAGCGGACUACUAUGGCUCAUGGAAGCACAAGACUACAUUUCCCCAUAAGAGAGGCUACCAAGAAUAAACAACUAGGUUGUCGGAUCCCACACAUACCAAGCAUUUCAAUCAUACACACAAUAUGCUCGAUAUGUGUAAAUACAAGAUGGCAUCACAGCAUAACUCUACGACUCAAGUAUUAAUUCAUUAGGAUCUGAGGAGCCAAGUAUUACAAUCAUGGUCUCAUGACCCAACAUACAGAGCAUACAAGCAUCGAGCGAAAGCAUAAACAUGUCUAAGUACAGACAACUACAAAUGAAGAAGGCAGAGAAGCCUGACUAUCUACAAGACCCUCCCAAGGGUACAAGAUCGUAGCUGAGGUAACAAGCUAAACGUCGAAGUCCACGCGGAACUACUAGCGAGACUGAAGUCUCUCUACAAAACAUAAAAUAAGCAAACGUGAGUACAAAUGUACCCAGCAAGACUUACAUCAGAACUAUCUACAUAUGCAUCAGUAUCAACAAAGGGGUGGUGGAGUUUAACUGCAGCAAGCCAGCUUUGACUCGGUGGCUAUCCUGAACUACGACUGCAAGUAACUCUUUUGAGGUGGCGCACACGAGUCCACAUAUUCACCAUACCAAUAUACCACUAUGGAUCCGCUCCCGUCUCCCUACGAGACGCCAUCCAUAGCACUCACGCUUAUCUUGUGCAUUUUAGAGUAUCCACUUUCACUUGUCUAUGAACUGUACAGGCAACCCAGAAGUCCUUUACCGCGGACACGGCUAUUCGAAUAGAUGAUGUUAACCCUGCAGGGGUGUACUUCUUCACACGCUCUCGCCACUUACCACCAUGUACACGUCGUGUAUCUCGGCAACCUUCAAGCGGAAGCCUGGCGAGGGAGUCGGCCACGACCUGACUAACCACGCAAGUCUCUAGUCCAGGUUUAUCGCCUAUUCGGGUUCCAUCCGCAAGGAGAUCCGGCCGGGGUGUCGCUCACGGCCCCAAACGAUGUGUGCAGGGUUCCCAAGCCCACCUCGACGGAUGGAUCUACGCUUGGUACACCGUGCCACGGUGCCUAGUCUGUCCCAAGCCCACCUGUACCGGGUGCCACUUGGUAGACUACUAACACAACCUACAAACACCAGAAACUAGUUGCAACUCCUGGACAGAGAUCGAGGCGGUUAAUAAGCCGAGAGGGGCCGAGUUACCGGAACCCAAUGUGUGGUAGUAACUAUUCAUGGAUCACAAACACAGAACUCAGUUCCUGAGGACGGUUUCAAUGAGACAACCCACCAUGUACUCCUACAUGGCCUCUCACCUCUACCUUUACCAAAUCGUGUUCACACACUUAGCUCUCAAUAGUAGGACAUGUUACACAACUUUCCAAUUCAUCCCCGAUGAAUCAGACCUGACAUAUCUCUAGGCAAUAGCAGGCAUGACAAACAAGCAUGAAUGAGUAGGCACAUCAGGGCUCAAACAACUCCUACUCAUGCUAGUGGGUUUCAUCUAUUUACUGUGGCAAUGACAGGUCAUGCAGAGGAAAGGGGUUCAACUACCACAGCAUGUAACAGUUGAAUCGUUGUUGUCCUAAUGCAGUAAAAGAGAGCAGGAGCGAGAGAGUGGGACUAUAUGGGAAUGAACAAGGGAGUUUUGCUUGGCUGGCACUUCUGAAGAUAACUUAGCUCUUCAUCGGUGUCAUCGAACUCAUCGUUGGAACAUCGUCUACCGAGAGGGGACAAAUACCGGCAAUAGAGAAGAAAUACAAUCAAUGCAAUGCAACAAUAUGAUGCAUGAAUGUGACAUGGUAAUAAUGUUAUGAUUUGCACUAAUGCAUCUAGCAACAAUUUAAAUGAAGUCCAUAUGGACCAAGGGUUCAUAUGCAAACUCCAUAUUUAGCAUUUAAGAUGCCAUUAUCAUGUUUUCACUUAUACAGUAGGUAUAAGUUGGUUUAACAUGCAUGAAAGUAGCAUAAAUGGAUAGAUUGCAUUUUUCUGAUAAUUUUUCAUGUAUAAUUUAUUUCAUUUGGAGUUACGGUUUAAUUUCUAUGAUUUUCAAAGUUUGCAACAUUUUCUGAAAUUUCCAAAUCAUUUUUGAAUUAGAAAUAUUCCAGAAAAUGCUUACUGCGUCAGCUCUAGGUCAUGCUGACGUCACCUAGUCAACAGGGCCAGUCAAGGUCAAACCUGACGUGUGGGGUCCACACGUUAGUGACACGGGGACUAAUCCCGGUCAAAACCAGCGCUGACUGGGUUUGACCCCAUGGUGGGGCCCACUGUCAGUGGCUGUGAGGUGGCUAAUUAAGGGAUUAGCCUCUAAUGACGGAGCCACGUCAUCGUCGCCGAAUUAAGCGCCGGCGACCAUAUCUCGCGGCAGAGGCUCGCCGGAGUUGCUCGGGCUCGCGCUACAGGCGGCCGUUGCGACGCGGUUUGGCCCUACGGAGAGCUGGUGUUUGCGCGCAUCUGGUGGAGCAAAGGGGGGAGCUAGGGUGGCCUGAGCUCGCCGGAAAUGAGCUCAGGGCGGCGGCCGGAGUUCGGCUUUGUCGGCGGGGCUAGCUGGCGGACGCAAAAGACGGCGGGGUUAGGGGGAGAGUGUGGUGGAGCUCACAGCGGGCCGGUAGAGAAGCUUAGCGGGCUCGGGGACGCGCUGACGAUAGCGUACGGUCGCCAGAGAUCUUCACGGCCGAGGGUUGAAGAAGCGGGCGAGGACGACGGUACGGGGCUCUCGGCGUCGUGCGGCUCGGCGAUGGGGAAGAGGACGGUGAGGAGGAGCUCUCACGCAAGGUGGGGAGGCGAGGGGAGGCCAGUGACCACGUCGGCGGUGAGCUGCGAGCUGCGGUGGCCGGUGGGGCUCUUUGUUCGGGCGAAGAACAAGGAGGGAGAGGGGAAAAUGGCCAGGGGAGAAGGGGGGUCAGCACGGGCCUCGUCCAUGUCUCCUGGGCGCGGGGUUGGGAGGAAGGAGGCGUUGACACAGCGAAGCAAGAGGUGGCCGCUCGGGCGCAUGCGCUCGCUGCCCUGCCUAUGCCUACUGGCAGAGGUACGGGACGACUGGCAGGGGCCAGCUGGGCUGGGCCGGCCAGGUAAGUUGGGCCAGGUGAGUUCUUUCUGCUCUCUUUUGCUUUAUUUUCUAUUUGUUUUCUUUUUAUUUAAACUUGCCACUGUUUAAAAUUUAGAACAAAUCAAAACAGUGCCAAAUAUCCUCUAAGUAUAACUUAUGUUGCUCAUUGGACAUUUCCAAAUGCACAUAAAUUAUCACAGAGCAUUUAAAAACAUAUCCAUAUAUAUUUGAAUAUAUUUUCAAAUUCAAAUAGAAUAUUGUUUUAAAUUCAAAUACCAAAUAAUUCCUUAAAAAUGUUCCAAAAUUUUGGUUUGGUAUAUAACCCUUGCCAAAAUUCUCAAAACUAUUUUUAGGGAAUUUUGGAUUCACUGAAUGCAAUUUAAAGGGUUCUUGCCCUUCUUUUAAAAGAUUUUGAGGCUUUCAAAUUCCCUCAAUUCAAGUUUCUUCGAUUAAACAUGAUGCAUGCUCACGGAUGCAACUAUUACACUCAGAUAUUCUAGGGCUGUGACAAGUAUGUUGUGUGACCUCUUACAGUGGUAGACUAGCAGAUGUAGGGGAUAUAGGUGGUACUGUCUACCCGUCGUAACGAGCUAACGCUUCUGAAAGACUUUGUUUCGGUCAUCCGUUUCUCAAACAUCAUGCAGUGCGAGAUAUUCAACGGAGGAGAUUGAGUCUUGUGGGGAAAAGUGCGCAAACCUCUGCAGAGUGUACAAACUAAUCAUGGUUAGCCGUGUCCCCGGUUACGGACAUCUUGAGUAUGUGGUUCUUGAAUGGUCAUGUUCAUCUCAUCACUGUAAAUUAAUUUGUUGGGUUAUUAAUACUGUUUAAUUGGGAUUGAGACGGGGUUACCAUUCUCAAUGUUUAUCAACUACCAUGAUAGUUAAACAAAAUAUAUUCCUUUGUUGUAGGAAAAAAUUGGCUUUUCGCAAAAACUUGUUAACCAUAGAGCCUCCACCAGCCAUAUAUGCAUGUAGUGAUAGCUUUUACCUGUUCAUUGCUCUACUGUGUUAUUUUGCCAGCAUAUUCCAUGUGCUGACCCGUUUCGGGCUGCAACGUAUUAUGUUGCAGACUUUUCAAACGAAGAGUAAGGCGCACUAGGUCGUUGUCGUGCACUCGGCUAUGCCGUUGGAGUUGAUGGACUCAUUUACCUUUCGAUGCUUCCGCAGUUAUCUUAUUUAGAUGGCCUUAAGCCAUAUUAUUGUAAUAAGUUCUCUUUUGAGACAUUUGAUGUAAUAAGUGUGUGAUUGCACUCUGUUGUAAAUCCUUCAAGUACUGUGUGUGUCAGCAUUACCGAUCCAGGGAUGAUACUUAUGCAUAGAGAUUCGGCCGUUUGAGGUCGGAUCGCUACAAGAUGGUAUCAGAGCACACGCUGAUUGUAGGACAUGACCACUAAGAUAAGCCAUAGGUCACUCUUCUUUACUCAUUUCUGACUCCUCUUCAUUUUCCACUCUAUAGAUGGCAAACUCGAGGAACAAGUUCACUCAACCGGAUGAAUACAGACCUUUUGGACGUCACUUGAAGGAAGACACUAGGUACCUGAACAUCGGAAUACCAAGCUUCACCGGGACCUACACCGCCACUUUACUAGAAGAGGAGCGUUGGAUGAUUCGAGUUCAAGUUCCAGGAAGGACGUUCACGCCAGUUACUGAGCCCAUAGAGUUUUCCUUUGAUGCACCAACCUGGAGUCUAGGUAAGAGCAUGGCAGCUCACAUCACCAUGGGACGCAUCAGCGAAGUUUAUCACAAGGAUCUCAAGGACACCAUCUACCAGAUAUCUGGGCGCCGAGACAAGCAAUGGGAGAUGAUCAGCACCAGGAGGGAUAGGUCCAUUGUAGCUUUCAUCCAAGAGUUAAACCAGCACAUUCGUCGCCAGGAGAACCAAAUGUGCGCAAACAUGAUAGAACUAAAGAAGGUGAUGACCAGGAACAUGGAGCUUGAAGAGGAACUCAAGUCUACACGAGAUGGAUACGAGGAGGAAAUCGCAAUAUUAGUGGAGAAGAAUGACGACCUGACAAGGAAGCUAGGAGUAUUCAUGGGAGACCCCGCGCCAGGAGAUGACGACCAUCCCGAGGACUACAUCAUCAUCGACGACCCCGACUCCGACCCCGACAGUAGUGAUGAUGAUUACGAAGACGAAGCUGGAGCAGACAUCAUGGAGUCUUCCACCGAUCAAAAUUUCUAGAGGACCUCCAUAUUAUCAGUAGUAUUUUCCCCAUGUAUAUAUUAGUAGUCCGAGUAUUUAGUAACAGUAGAUAGAUUUAUUGUAUGCCCUUGUUUGAAUUGAAUGGUGUGAUAUGAAUGUGUUUGUCUCAUGUGCAUAUGGGUAGUGCUUUCUCACUAGACCUCACUCUAUUCUUAUCUCUUCCCUCUAAACCCAUCAGAUGCCUCCGAGACGUGACCCCGGAUUUGUCUUCCCAUCGGAGCUCACUCAGUUGAUCCAACAGCAGAAUGCCUUGAUGCAGCUACUAGUCCAGAACCAAGGCAACAACAACAACAACCCACCGCCACCGCCUCCAAUUGACAACUUAGCCCAUUUUCUGAGGUUGAAUCCACCAGUGUUUUCCAGUAGCACCGAGCCGAUUGUUGCUGAUGACUGGCUACACAGGAUUGGAAGGGAGUUGACCACCGCAGGUUGCACAGAUGCUGAGAAGGUGCGUUUUGCUGCACAUCAAUUGGAUGGGCCCACGGCCUCAUGGUGUGAGAAUUACACAGCCACUUUCCCUAUAGCCAAUGUUACUUGGGAACAGUUUCGCAAGCAUUUCGCACUGCACAUGUCUCAACUGGAGCUAUGAGCGUGAAGAAGCGUGAGUUUCGCAACUUACGCCAGUGAAAUCGUACUAUGGGGCAGUACGUGGAUGAGUUCAGUAAGCUAGCUUGCUAUGCCCCGGAUGAUGUGGCCACGGAUGCCGCAAAGCAGGAGAAGUUUAUGGAAGGGUUGAAUGAUGAACUAAGCAUGCAGUUGAUGGUGGCAACAUUUGCUAACUACCAGGACUUGGUAGACAGGGCUCUUAUGAUUGAAGGAAAGCAGCAGCAGAUAGAUAGCCGCAAAAGGAAGUAUGGGCAAGGGAAGUAUAACUCUGGAGCAACGCAGAAGCCUCAUUUUACUCCUAACCCGGGAGGAUUUACCCAUAACCAUGGAGGACACACUCACAAUGGAGGAAGUUCCCAUAACCACAGUGGUUCCAGGAAUGGAAAUGGGAAUGGAGCAAGCACCAGCCAGAACCGUUCCAACCCAGCAACACCCGCUAAGAAGGAUCUGAGUCAUGUCACCUGUUACAAGUGCAGGAAGACUGGGCAUUACGCCAAUGAUUGUUCUGAGCUGAAGAAUGGCAAUGGGAAUGGAAGCUCUGGGAAGAAUCCCAAUCCCUUCACCAGAGGUCAGGUGAACCACAUCAACGUGGAGGAGGUUGAAGAUCAGCCUGACGCGGUGAUUGGUAAGUUCUUGGUUAAGUCAUUUACCGCUCUUGUUCUUUUUGAUACUGGUGCAUCACAUUCAUACAUAUCAAGGGGAUUUGUGGACAAGUUUAAGCUACCCACCAUAGCCCUUAGGUCACCCAUGUUAGUAAGUUCGCCAGGAGCAGAGUAUAUGGUCAGCCGAUGGUGUGAUCAGUUACCCUUAACCAUUGGCAGCCAUGUUUUCCCCUCUGACCUAAUAAUUUUGGAGUCACAAGGAUUGGAUAUAAUACUAGGCAUGGAUUGGCUAUCGAAGUAUGGAGGGAACAUUGACUGUGCUAGUAAGUCGAUACUUCUCACCAGCCCGGAGGGAAAAAGGAUUAAGUAUGUAUCCAUGCAAGCGCCUAGGAAAGCCCAAGUAAAUUCCAUCUCAGGAGUCGUUCAGGAGGAAGUGCGUGUAGUGAAGGAUUACCCAGAUGUAUUUCCAGAGGAACUACCAAGCAUGCCGCCGGAUCGAUACAUUGAGUUUUUGAUAGAGCUGUUGCCAGGCACCGGACCGAUAUCGAAGAGACCAUACCAGAUGCCCGCAAAUGAUCUGGAGGAGAUUAAGAAGCGGAUUAAGGAGUUACUGGAGAAAGGUUACAUUUGACGAAGUUUGUCACCGUGGAAGCCCUAGUGCUCUUGGUUGAGAAGAAGGAUGGAUCUUUGAGAAUGGUUGUUGAUUAUCGUGCGUUGAAUGAAGUGACGAGCAAGAACAAGUACCCACUACCGAUGAUCAACGAUUUGUUUGACCAGCUGCAAGGAGCUAAAGUAUUCUCCAAGAUCAAUCUGCGAUCAGGAUACCACCAGCUGAAGAUCCGAGAACGGGAUAUACCUAAGAUAGCUUUUACUACAAGGUAUGGCUAUAUGAGUACACGGUUAUGUCAUUUGGAUUGACUAAUGCCUCUGCCUAUUUCAUGAGUAUGAUGAAUAAGGUGUUUAUGGAGUUCUUGGAUAGGUUUGUUGUGGUGUUCAUUGAUGAUAUUUUGGUAUACUCAAAGAAUGAAGAGGAGCACAAGGAGCAUUUGCGUUUAGUUCUCGAGAAGCUCAGGGAACAUCAGCUUUAUGCCAAGUUCAGCAAAUGUGAGUUUUGGUUGAAGGAGGUUGGAUUCCUUCGACAUGUUAUAUCAGGAGAAGGUAUAGCAGUAGACCCUACCAAGGUUCAGUCAGUCAUUGAUUGGCUGGCACCCACCUCAGUAGGAGAGAUCCGCAGUUUUCUUGGACUCGCGGGAUAUUAUCGAAGGUUUAUUGAGAAUUUCUCCAAGAUUGUGAAGCCUAUGAUGGAGCUGUUGAAGAAGGACACUAAGUUCAAGUGGACCGAAGAGUGUGAGGCCAAUUUCCAGGAGCUGAAGAAACAUUUGGUUACAGCCCCAGUGCUAAUUCUGCCGGAUAUACGCAAGGAUUUCCAAGUGUAUUGCGAUGCCUCUCGCUUAGGACUUGGAGGUGUACUUAUGUAGGACAGAAGAGUUGUUUCAUAUGCCUCACGCCAGCUUCGACCGCAUGAGUUAAAUUAUGCCACACAUGAUUUGGAGUUAGUAGCUGUAGUUCAUGCACUCAAGACCUGGAGACACUUUCUUAUUGGAAAUCGUUGUGAUGUGUACACGGAUCACAAGAGUUUGAAGUACAUUUUCACACAGAAGGAGCUGAAUCUCAGGCAAAGGAGAUGAUUAGAGCUUAUAAAGGAUUAUGACAAGAAGUUGCACUAUCAUCCAGGCAAGGCCAAUGUCGUAGCAGACGCUUUAAGCCGGAAGAGUUAUGCCAAUACCCUCAUAAGCGGAGGAUUACCAAAGGAGUUGGUCGAAGACCUCAGGGAGCUUCAUUUGGAGAUAGUUCCUAGAGGUUUUGUUGCAGCAAUGGAGUUAAAUCAACAUUAUUGGGAAAGAUUCGAGAGGCUCAAAAGGAUGGUAAAGAAAUUGCUGAGAUCAAGGAGAAGAUGAGUAAAGGAAAAGCCAAAGGUUUUCGUGAGGAUGAGCACGACACUUUGUGGCUUGAGGACCGUGUUUAUGUGCCCAACAAUGCAGAGAUCAGGAAGUUAAUACUUCAGGAAGGCCAUAACUCACCAUACUCGAUACACCCCGAAAACACCGAUAUGUAUUUGGAUUUGAAGGAGCGUUUCUGGUGGAGUGGUAUGAAGAAGGAUAUUGCCGAGUAUGUAGCCGCAUGUGAUGUAUGUCAGAGAGUGAAGGCAGAGCAUCAGAAGCCAGCAGGAUUACUGCAGCCUAUGCCGAUACCCGAAUGGAAGUGGGAUAAGCUUGGCAUGGAUUUCAUCAUCGGAUUACCCAGGACCCGAUCGGGAUAUGAUUCUAUGUGGGUAGUAGUGGAUCGUUUGACCAAAGUGGCUCACUUUAUCCCAGUGAAGACCACCUAUACGAUUGUGAAGUUGGCCAAGAUAUAUAUGACCAGGAUCAUAUGUCUGCAUGGAGUUCCGAGAACCAUCGUAUCAGAUAGAGGGACUCAGUUUACUUCAAAGUUUUGGCAUCAGCUGCACCAGACUUUGGGUACCAGGCUAGAGUUCAGUACAGCCUUUCAUCCGCAGACAGAUGGACAAACCGAGAGAGUUAAUCAGAUUCUGGAGGACAUGUUGAGAGCUUGUGUGCUAGAUUAUGGAUCUAGUUGGGACGAUAAUUUGUCAUACGCGGAGUUCUCAUACAACAACAGUUACCAAGCCAGCUUGAAGAUGGCACCUUUUGAAGCUUUGUACGGGAGAAGGUGCAGGACACCGUUAAUGUGGGAUGAAGUUGGAGACCGUCAGUUGUUUGGACCAGAUUUGAUCAAGGAGUCCGAAGAGAAGGUUAAGUUGAUUCGAGAUAGACUGAAGGUAGCUCAGUCCAGGCAGAAGAGUUAUGCAGAUUCAAAGUGCAAGGAGGUAGUCUAUGAAAUCGGAGACAGAGCAUAUCUUUGGGUGUCACCUCUGCGAGGAGUUAAACGAUUUGGAGUUAAGGGAAAGUUAGCCCCGAGAUUUGUAGGACCAUACCGAGUUUUGGAACGUAUGGGAGAAGUGUCCUACAAGUUGGAGUUACUUGAAGGACUGUCAGGAAUUCAUGAUGUGUUUCACGUUUCCCAGUUGAAGAAGUGCCAUGCUGAGAUGGCCGAUAUUCCUCUGAGAGAUACAGUGCCCCUGGAAGCAAUACAGUUGGAUUGCGAUUUGACCUACGAGGAGAAACCCGUCAAGAUUCUCGACUUCGCCAGCCGAGUUACACGCAGCAAGGUUAUCAAAUUUUGCAAAGUUCAGUGAAGCCACCAUACCGAGGAUGAAGCCACCUGGGAACGAGAGGAGGACCUACGCAAAGACCACCCGCACCUAUUUUCUAGCCAACCCGAAUCUCGAGGGCGAGAUUCAUCUUAAGGGGGGUAGGUUUUUAACAUCCACAAUUUUCAAUUUGGAAUGUUAUACAUAGGUCAUCAUAUGCAUAUCAUGUUUUAUUUGCAUUUCAUUUGUGAUCUUAGAAAAUCCUAAGCAACUCAAGGACCCACGGAGAGAGUUGGGGAUUUCAUUAUUUUCAUAUUUGAAUUUUUCUCAAAUUUGAAAAGAGGAUCAUUUUGGUUUUAAUAUUUUCUCUCCGAAUAUUUCCUACAUAAAAAUAAAAGAGAGGAGAUAAAAUGACUUCUCCAAAAUAGAAGAAAAUAUUGGAGGAAAAAUGUUAAAAUCAAAUAAAUAUUUUAUUUGAAUUUUAUUCGAGAUUUUAUUUGAAUUAGAAAAAUAUGCAUAUUUCAAAAUUGCAUUUUUAGGCCACUAAAGUGUUCACUUUGUUCUAAAUAUUUUAUUUAGACGGUGAAAAUUGUUUUUGGCAUUUUUAGAUUUUUUAAUUUCUUUAUUAGGAUUUUCUUCGGCAGAAUUUAUUUUAUUUAAAAAACGCGUCGCCCGACUGAGCCACGGCCCAGCCGAGCGGGCCGAAGCCCAGCGCGCCGCCGCCUCCCGCUCCGGCUCGAGACCGGACUCUCGAGCGCNNNNNNNNNNNNNNNNNNNNNNNNNNNNNNNNNNNNNNNNNNNNNNNNNNNNNNNNNNNNNNNNNNNNNNNNNNNNNNNNNNNNNNNNNNNNNNNNNNNNNNNNNNNNNNNNNNNNNNNNNNNNNNNNNNNNNNNNNNNNNNNNNNNNNNNNNNNNNNNNNNNNNNNNNNNNNNNNNNNNNNNNNNNNNNNNNNNNNNNNNNNNNNNNNNNNNNNNNNNNNNNNNNNNNNNNNNNNNNNNNNNNNNNNNNNNNNNNNNNNNNNNNNNNNNNNNNNNNNNNNNNNNNNNNNNNNNNNNNNNNNNNNNNNNNNNNNNNNNNNNNNNNNNNNNNNNNNNNNNNNNNNNNNNNNNNNNNNNNNNNNNNNNNNNNNNNNNNNNNNNNNNNNNNNNNNNNNNNNNNNNNNNNNNNNNNNNNNNNNNNNNNNNNNNNNNNNNNNNNNNNNNNNNNNNNNNNNNNNNNNNNNNNNNNNNNNNNNNNNNNNNNNNNNNNNNNNNNNNNNNNNNNNNNNNNNNNNNNNNCCCGCGACGCCGCAAGCCGCCCGCCUCGCCGGAUCACGCCGCUGCCCGCCGGAUCUCGCUGGUCUUUUCCAGUUAAACGGUAUAAAACCGUUCAGUUUUUUUCCGGUAAACCCUAGUUUGGUUUUUUUUCUAUAUGGGUUUUCUCGAUUUUCUUCGGUUAGUUUUAUUCUACGAACAUUCGCUCAUUUAGUUCUUAUAAAGAACGAAUUCGCUCGUUUGCCUCUGUUAGCGGACGUUCGCGCCGUAGUCUUUUUAUUUUUAUUUUAUUUUUGGCCAGGGAUCUAUCCGCGAUUAUUUUUAUCGCAGAUUAGCCCCUGAUCUUCAAACCCUCGCAACUUUUUAACCGUUUGUCCAAAUCUAGUGAAACCAACACCAAAAUCUUUGCCUCGAACCCCUCUUUCCAGUUAAUCAACUUGAACAAGGUUUUGAUAAUUUAAAAUUUUGUUUCAAGCAGAUUUGAAUUCGAACUUCCUUUGACCGUAGUUUGAGUUUCGUAGCUCCGAUUUGAUUGAUUCUUUUUGCAAAUUGAAGCACUUCUGUUGAACUUACAGUUUGGAUCUCUUUAUUUGAGUUUUACCCUUGCAUCUAUGCUUGAGUGCUUAUGUAUGCUAUUGUUUGUUUGCGAUAGAAUUUCCAAAGUGCGAAGCGUGCUCCUACGAGUCUCUAGGGUUCGCAGAUCGCCAGCAAGGCAAGUAACACUUUGAUCAUACCCCUUAUUACCCAGUUUUUAUGCAUUAGUUAGAACCCUCAAACAUUGCAUGAGUAUGAUCUCUUAACAUGUGGGUUUUGGGAGUAGCUGAUGAGGUAGAACCUAUUGUCCUGUAUUAUCAAACCCUGUGAGUUACUUCUACGUUAUGCUUAUACUGCUAUGCUAUGCUCGUAGACGUGGUUUGGUUGAGUGAUUAAUGACAGCUGUGAGAUUAUUUAUAAACUAAGGGUUUAUUUAAGGUGGCUACUUUAAUACACAUCU
This 13404-nucleotide long non-coding RNA is filed under the name Triticum aestivum (bread wheat). RNAcentral's name for it is "long non-coding RNA (TAES_LNC004372)". The record is from RNAcentral. Lineage: Eukaryota; Viridiplantae; Streptophyta; Magnoliopsida; Poales; Poaceae.